This 1278-nucleotide long non-coding RNA is filed under the name Homo sapiens (human). Its description in RNAcentral is "HSALNT0110087". Lineage: Eukaryota; Metazoa; Chordata; Mammalia; Primates; Hominidae. The record is from RNAcentral.
UCUUGUUUGCUAAGAAAGAAUGAGUCAGUUUUCAUAUAUUACAGGAAAAUAAUAUUUGCCUUCUAAAUAGCUGACACUGGGUUUUGCAUUUCCUAGAGCAACGAGGAAGAGUUGCCUGCAAAAGAAGGGAGAUGAAUUAAAUGGUUCUGAAUGUAGGCCAGAAUCUUAGAGAAGAUAUUGCAGCCUGUAAGUGCUCAGGAGUUUUGAAAGGAGCUGACUCAUGAGCCAUGUUCUGGGACACUGCUGAUUCUCAGUGGGCAAGCUGUACUGUGUGUAUUUUGGAGCUCCAUAACACAGACUCAUGCCUUGAAUGGGGGGAUGCCGGGAGGGCUGGGAUGCUUGGAGAGAAAAAGAAAAGAAACAGAAUAUGGCAAGACACUCUACAUGCUAAAGCUUACAGAUGCUUUGAUUACAGGAAACUUACGUAAAUGAUAACAGUGCGCAGAACUAGACGUGGAAGAAGGGAAAAAAUAUGGGAUCCCGACAUAGGCCUUUGUACUCAUAAAAUCACGGGUGAGACUGCUGAAAACAACUGUUGGGAGUUUUAUGAUUUAAUCCCAUUGACUGGAUCACUGAACAGGGCAUUUUUCACUUCCAGUUUUCGUGCUUUAGCUGACCUACGAAAUCUCAUGGUUUUGUUUGGUGACACGUGCUUUUAGGAAAACUUGUUAUUUCUGCUGUUCUGCACUGCCCUGUCUCCACUGAACUGCCUGAUCUCCUGUGGAAUUUACAGUUUCAGCGCAGCCAGCAAAUGCAGGGAAAGAAUGUGUGCUUCAUAGCUGGAGUGCUCCUGAUAACAGUCCAUUCUGGUAUCGGUGGCUGGAAGAGAGAGGGACUGCCACCCAGUGUUUUUACAGUGCCUGUUUCAGGCAGCUUCUAAAUUGACAGCGAAGGGUGGAGUGGGUAGGGGGAGAAACAAGAAAAAAAAAUUCCCUGUCUUUGGGGUGGGGGAGAUAAUUCUAAAAUCUCUGAGAAACUUAAAUAUGGUAAUUCCCUAUUCCAAACAUACACAAGUCACAAGCAACCUUAUUCUUUGGUUUCUAGGCACAUUUUUGAGUUUAGCACAAUAGGGAGAAGAAAAUUGGAGGUUAGCGAAUCCAGUAGGGCAAGAGGUGAAGAGGACUAAAUUUCAGUCAAGACAACAAGGAAAGUACAAAGAAUACAGUUUCUCUUUCAUGUGCUUUGAUCGUCUUUCCUGUUUUACCCUUAAUGAAUACUUUCUCAAAACUAAAAAUAAAACACUGCAUUCUAUUAAAUUGUGCUCUUCCUCUAAGGGAA